UUCUUACUUUUGAUAAUUCUUUUCAGUAUGAUUUUACCUGUUGCUAUGCAAGGCAUCUAUUCUUGAGUCAUACUCUUGACCUUUUCAAUCUUAAAGAGUUUUCCUCUUUUUUCCUCCUGGUUUAAAUUUAGAUAAGCUGUGUUCUUUGGAGUCCUGUUUUCUAAUUUGAAUUUUAAUCUACACAUGCCAACUGUUUCUCUUUGGUAGAUUCUAAUCAUGAAAUUUCCAAGUUAUUGCAGAGAGCAGGCUUCUAGUACAUCUAGCAAAGCAGUGUCUGGUGACAUGUCCAGUGAUGAAAAAAAAUCAGAGACAGAUUUCUACUAGAGCUUUAAUGCCCCCUCCUCGCCCCUCAAACAAGAAGCUGUCAAGUGUCAUCGUCUUCAUUAAUGGUGCGAAUGGAGCAAGUCAGAAGAGAACGAGCCACCAAUGAUGGCAGCAUGCGUUCAAGUCUGCUACCCAUCUCACUGUGUUGCUUUGGAAGCUUAGAUGCAAUCUCAUAAGCUGACAUGCCUAACGAACUCUCUGCCUUUGAUAUGAUCUCAAACAAGUUCAUAUCAAUAGCAGCGUUCAAGAUUGCAGGAAACACCUAAGCAAAUGCGAACGAAGCAGCUUUGGUGAAAGCAUCAUCGUACUCCUCCUUGGUGGUUGAACUCAUCAUAUUCAUAUAUGCUACCUACUUUAAUUAUUAGUCUUUAAUUAACCAACUCUAAUUUAGUGUAUGUAGUAGUCAGUAGUCCCUCAUCAUAUAUAUAUAUAUAUAUAUAUAUAUAUAUCAUGCUAAGAGAUUUCUUAUUCCAUAAGAUUUGACUACAUGCUCUUUUAAUUAAAUAUUUAUUUGUGAUGAAUUAUAGUUGAUGUAUCAACACACU
This is a non-coding RNA of Arachis ipaensis, 869 nucleotides long. The record is from RefSeq and is a predicted model, not a curated record. Lineage: Eukaryota; Viridiplantae; Streptophyta; Magnoliopsida; Fabales; Fabaceae.